CCCUUAGAUGUCCUGGGCCGCACGCGCGCUACACUGACAUGUUCAACAAGCCUCCUAGUUCGACAGGAUUUGGGAAAUCUUUGAACACAUGUCGUGAUAGGGAUAGAUCAUUGCAAUUAUUGAUCUUGAACGGGGAAUUCCUAGUAAACGCGAGUCAUCAGCUCGCAUUGAUUACGUCCCUGCCCUUUGUACACACCGCCCGUCGCACCUACCGAUUGAAUGUUUCGGUGAAGAUUCCGGAUAGGACUUUUUUGAUUUAUUUCAAUUUUGUCUUAAAAGCUAUCUAAACCUCAACAUUUAGAGGAAGGUGAAGUCGUAACA
RNAcentral lists this ribosomal RNA (321 nucleotides) under uncultured eukaryote. Its description in RNAcentral is "partial 18S ribosomal RNA". It matches the Rfam family "Eukaryotic small subunit ribosomal RNA", at positions 1470 to 1796 of the family's 1831-position model. The record is from RNAcentral.